This 258-nucleotide long non-coding RNA is filed under the name Mytilus galloprovincialis (Mediterranean mussel). Lineage: Eukaryota; Metazoa; Mollusca; Bivalvia; Mytilida; Mytilidae. The record is from RNAcentral.
UUUAUAUAAAAAAAAGUUGUGGUAUGAUUGCCAAUGAGACAACUAUCCACAAAAGACCAAAAUGACACAGACAUUAACAACUAUAGGUCACCGUACGGCCUUCAACAAUGAGCAAAGCCCAUACUGCAUAGUCAGCUAUAAAAGGCCCCGAUAAGACAAUGUAAAACAAUUCAAACGAGAAAACUAACGGCCUUAUUUAUGUAAAAAAAUUAACGAAAAACAAAUAUGUAACACAUAAACAAACGACAACCACAGAAU